This is a long non-coding RNA of Mandrillus leucophaeus (drill), 1165 nucleotides long. RefSeq lists it as uncharacterized. The transcript is spliced from 3 exons. The record is from RefSeq and is a predicted model, not a curated record. NCBI's taxonomy places the organism in Eukaryota, Metazoa, Chordata, Mammalia, Primates, Cercopithecidae.
AGGGCUGUGUGUUCCAGAAGUCUGAUACCAUGGACUGCAUCACCUUGGCUUCCUGGCUGUCUGGUUAGUGAUUUGAGCAAUGAGAGGCAGCAGCUAGAAAUGAAAGAGUAGUAGAGUGUCUCCUGACACUGUGUGCGUGGUCUCCACUCAGCCUCAGAUUCCUGUAAGUCAGCUGCAUCCAGAUUUCCACCGGCUUCCCCGUCCCGAGAAGGUUACAUUUGGCCGCCACUAAGAUCUGAGAAAAACCUCUUCAGAGGAAUUUUGGCCAAAUCUUCUCUCCCUCUUCUACAGCCACUUUCCUUCUGAAUUUCUUACUUUCCCAGGGCCUGAUUGGUUCAGUACCAAGUGAGGUCAUAGUUACUAUGGUGACUCACAAUUGCCUUCAGAACCUAGUGCAGAUUCAAACACUGGCCACCAUCCCUGGUUUCCUUCUGGUUCACGCCUGAAUAAGGUCUCUCUUCUGUGCUGUCUUCCUGAAGCCAUCUGUGGAGUCAAGCAGUCAUGGCUCAGGCACACUCUGAAGUUGGUCCCAGCACAUCUGCACGGAGCAUCAGGAGAAAGGCGGACGAAUACUUGAGACCCAGCCUGGCCUCUAAAUCUGUGCUGAGCGUUUUACUCAGUAGACAGCUUGGGAAUCAUAGAAACGAUGUGGAUCUGACAGAGUGGCUGUGGACACUGACACAAACCACACCAGGGUGGACCUGGCCUUUGCCAACACGCCAUACAAUCAACCCACCUUUGCACCCUGGGGAGGAUAGAAAAUCCAAGAAAAUGGUGUGGAUCAAUAAAUCCUUCCCCUGAUGCAACCAUUACAAAUGGAAGCUGUGUUCUCACUGCUUUUGGUUGUACAUGGUCUUUGAUCACCUAGUUUCUUGACUUCUGACCAGUCUCUGUGUUACCCGAGGCCACAGCAGAUGAACUUUACCUACUGCCCCCUGAGAAGGUGUUUACUAACGUUGUAGAGUCUGGGGGUGUUGGAGCCACGAGGGGCCCUGUUUCGAGAAGGUGGAAGGGCAGCUGAGUGGACACGUGGAGAGGCCCUGCAACCCUAAAUUUCUAGGGGGAGGGGCCUUUAAGGAGCCCGCUUAGAGGUCUUGAUUUGUCUCCCUUGAAGUUUGGGGGAGAGCGUGGGUAAAAAUUGAAAUCAAAUAAAUUUAAAAUGAGA